Molecule: ribosomal RNA, 397 nt
Filed under: uncultured bacterium
Lineage: Bacteria
Description: bacterial SSU rRNA
Rfam family: Bacterial small subunit ribosomal RNA
Source: RNAcentral
AUUGAACGCUGGCGGCAUGCCUUACACAUGCAAGUCGAACGGCAGCACGGGAGCAAUCCUGGUGGCGAGUGGCGAACGGGUGAGUAAUAUAUCGGAACGUGCCCAGUCGUGGGGAUAACGUAGCGAAAGCUACGCUAAUACCGCAUACGAUCUAUGGAUGAAAGCGGGGGAUCGCAAGACCUCGCGCGAUUGGAGCGGCCGAUAUCAGAUUAGGUAGUUGGUGAGGUAAAGGCUCACCAAGCCGACGAUCUGUAGCUGGUCUGAGAGGACGACCAGCCACACUGGGACUGAGACACGGCCCAGACUCCUACGGGAGGCAGCAGUGGGGAAUUUUGGGACAAUGGGCGCAAGCCUGAUCCAGCAAUGCCGCGUGCAGGAUGAAGGCCUCGGUUGUAAC